This 5264-nucleotide unclassified non-coding RNA is filed under the name Leishmania donovani. RNAcentral describes it as "gene:LdHU3.26.0820(CDS-product:hypothetical_prote in_conserved)". Lineage: Eukaryota; Euglenozoa; Kinetoplastea; Trypanosomatida; Trypanosomatidae. The record is from RNAcentral.
AGUGACGACGUUGCCCGCCCUCCCAUCGCUCUCUGUGUGUCUCCAUCCCGUUCGUCGCUGCCCUGCCCUUGCUUCUAUCCCUUCCUCUGCCGCAAACGUGCGUCGCGGUGUGUUUUGACUCCGAAGCCGUCCGUGCAUGAAGUUGUGUGCGUGCCUGCAUGCGCGCUGGCGACAGACAGUCAUAGGGCGGCCCGCCACCACAUACCGCACCUGUGCACACACACGCAAACACACUUCUCUAUCGGGAGACGUUGGCGGAGACAGGGUGGCGCGACAGUCCCGCCGUCGUUCUACACGUCUUUGCGUCCCAUUCCUCGUAUCUCCCUUGGCCCCGUUUUGUGCCGCCUUGCUGCUCAAGGACACAACGCCUCCGUCCCUUCUCUCCGCCGUCCUCGGCCAACAUGGCGCUGAAAGGGUCUCUGCCGGGGGUGCAGUUCCGCCGCAGCCAGUCUAAGGAUGCGGUGCAGUUGGCGGGGCUCCUACAGCUAGGCGACGCCGUGCAAGACGGCAUCCCCACACCGGCUGUGUUUCGCAUCCACAGCACAAGCGACUUUGCCACCCUCAUUCAAACUGCGUACCUCUGUGUGACGGCGGUGCGUGACACUGCCGCGACGGCAAAUGGUGCUCAGGCCGAGGAGGCUGUCGUCGGAUUCAUUGCGCUCAGCGACGAGGUACAGGGCGUGAGCCACCGGUACGGCACCGCGAGCAACGGCGACGCAGACGAGAAGAUGCUCGAGAUGGAGCAGUUGAUGGCUUUAGCCGAGAACAUGCAUGGCGCCGUAAAGGGGGCGACGCUGGAGAACAGCCUGUGGCUGCGCAUGCUUAUUGCUCCGCCGAGUGACACCCUUGUCGAGGCGAGUUCGGCGACCACUGCCAUCUCGGCCACCGACACAUCUGUUGUGGCAGCCUCGCAACACAAGUCCUUUACGUCGGAGGAGAUGGCGAUGAGCCUGCUGCGCGCCGCUUUGGGCACGCUGAGCGGCAUCGAGCAUAUCUUUAUGUUCCUCGGCUCUGACUUUCCGAGCCUGGAGUCGGUAGCCGGCAUAGCGCCGCUAUCGGCCAAGGUAGCUGGCGUGCUUCCUGUGGCUUCGUCAUCGGCCCAUCAUGCGUCAACGCGGAAGCUUCUGCACCUCUCCCGCGCCACGGUGCUCCCCCCGCUUGCGAUACGUCAAGGCAGAGUGGAGGACUACGACGACGUCGUGACGUUGCUCAUUGCUGGUGGGCCAGGAGUCAUCACGCAGCUGCCGCAGGACUUCUUCCUGGAGGAGAUUCUACAGGAUCAGGACACGCACAAUAAGGUCGUCGUCGCCGAGAACAGUGUAACGCAUGAGGUUGUCGGUGUCGCGUGCCUGCGCCAGUUGACAAUGGAGGAGCAGCAGCACACAGCCCGGCUGUACAACACGGAUGCCCUCGACCGGCUGAAGCGUGUGAGCGCGGACGCAUCAGGGAAUGAUGCCCAGCCCGACAACGGGCUCUCGUGCACCUUCAGCAUCUUCUUUCUGUACUUCAACCGCGAUUUCGACCACAGUGCGUAUCGGCUCCUGCCGUACUUCUUCCACGAGUUCCCCACGUGCGACUACGCCACGCUGCAGCUGUCGCACACGUUACCAUUACCGGAGCCGAUGAUACUAGAGCGGUUCCAGUACAUUCCGCUGCGGCGUUAUCAACCGCACAACGCCCGUGGCGAGCUGGUGCCGGCCCCCGAUGCGCUAUGGGUGUGCCCCCGCGUGUCCAUGGCGAUGGAUCACGGCGUGCAGGCGCGUGUAGAGCUGCUGACAGAUCCUUGCAACGCCAUGCUGCGCAAGAAGGUGCUCUCUCAGUUUCCGGCGCCCAAUAAUACUUCUGCAUCGACGUUCGCGAGCCGUAACGGCAGACCGGCCGGCUCGGGUGCUCGCGCGGCGCUGCAUCAUCAGGAGAGCCGAAGCGGCGCCAGCGGUGCUCUCCCAGGAUUCCCGGGGAUCUCCGUGGAGCUGCUGGCUGCGCUGCAAGACGACUUAGAUGCGUCGGUGCCAACGGCGUCCCAAGGAGGCGAUAGUGAGAGUGGUGUAGUGACGCAGAACCGCUCCGUGUUCGCGCUCACAUGGGGCGAGCAUUCCGCCGGUGGCACCGCGGGCGUAUUGUCGUCCGCUGCGGUGGUCGGCGUGAUAUCGGUGCAGGCUCUUUCGGUUGCCGAGAUGUACGCGCUCCGUGCCAACUACGACCUCGACCGCUUCCUCGCUUUCAACGCCGCACAGGGGUUCAACUACGCAGCCACCGACAUCUCGCUUUCCGCAGAAGAGGGUCCACUGCGCUAUCGCUCGUUGGAGCUGCCUGGAAUUGUCGUCCGCUUCGUCUACAUUCGCCCCGUGUUCCGCCAGCACCUCAAGUUCUUCCUGCGCGAGGUACUCCGGCAGACCCAGACGGAGGUGAUGCUCCUGCUGACGAGCACCAGUGCGGAGCUGUACCAGACCGCCGUGGCUUCCUUCACCUUCGCCCCACCGCGGCGCGUCGUCGAGGUGGCGGCUGAGCGAAAGAGGAGGGACUUGAAUCUGUUUAUGAGCACGGCCGGCAACAUUGCCGAACUCCCUGAGGUUAACGAUGUGACGCCGACCGUGACGCAGAACACCGCCGCCGCUGCUGGCAAUGAGGAGACGACGCGCACUGGCCUGGAGCUGAGCUCUCUCUUCUUUACGACGCGCCGCUUCCUCGGCGACGAGCGGGUGCGUGUGCACCCGCGCGUCGUGAUUGUUGGUGCCAGCGCCACGGCACUCUGCAUGCUGUACGAACUCCUCUCCGUGCCCUACCUGGACUACCUGAGCAUCACCGUCGUGUCGACAGACGGCAUGCCGUUGCACCCGAAUCAGCGCCCAAUGCGGCAGUGGCGGGUGGAUGGGAUGGAGCUGCUGGAGCGGGAGUACAUGCGCCUGCACCUCGGCGAGGGAAUGAAGCAGGCGUCGUCGCUCAGCUUUGGCGCGAACACCAUCCGCGUCGUCCAGGGCACUCUCAUCGACAUUGACACCACCAUGAAGUUCGUUCAGCUAGAGAACAGCGUUUACGAGCCGUACGACCAGCUGCUGCUUGCGACGGGGCGGCAGUACAUUGUGCCGCCGUCGAUCCGGGCACUGCAGCAACAGGAAGCCCACGGUGCCCGCGGCGGCAUAACCGCGCUCUCGAACGAGGUCUCCGAGGCUCGACUGCGCCAAACGUUGGCGGAGCUGAGCCAGUCGGUGAGCGGGUCCAUCGCGAACAUCGUUGUGUACGGCUCCGGUCUUGACGCCAUUGCGACGCUCUCGACAAUGGUAUCCAUGGGCUUCCCCGCGCAGCGGCUGGUGCUGUGCCGACCCAACACUGAGCAGACGCCGUUUACCGAUGCUACCUGCGGCCAGGCGACGAUGGCGCUGCUCCGUGCGCUCGGCGUGACAGUGCUGGACGGCUACGGCGUCUCGCGUUUGGAGUUCGACGAGGAGACUCUGACGUCCGUGCUCUUGGCGUCUCUUUCCUACGAGCGCAAGGCAGGCGACGCCGUCGAGCUGCCAUGCGGGCUGAUAGUGUGCCUGGAGGAGAAAGAAAUCGACCGCAGCGUGCUCACGGCGCUGGCGAAGAGGUCGAUUGUCUUUGAUGGUCGUGUCAUCGUGGGCAGCGCGUACGAGACCAGCCGACCAGAUGUGCUUGCCGCUGGACCGGUCGCCAUGUUCACUCGCCGCUACGGCGCCACGGAGGCUUUCGAGGCUUUCAACCCGCGCGACGUCGGCAGAGAUGUGGCACGGGUGCUGCUUGCUCGGCUUGGCGUAAAGGAGUUCCAGGUGCUCCCCGCAACAGCGAAUCACCCGCAGAAGGACCCGGCGGGCCACACAUCGGCUGACAACAGCAGCUUGCUGAGCGUCAUGCACAACCAGAUGCUGGACAGCUCAGUCGUCAUUGGUGCGCCGUCCUCAAUGUUGGAGGGCGCGACGCAGGAGCAUAGCAAGCGCGUCCCGAUACUGCCGUCCUACACGUCGCCCGUGUCGCGCCGAGUUCGUCUUCCAUGCGGCUACCAGUACGUGAGCACCGUCCGCGGCUCCGCUGCCUUUGAGGCAAAGGAGUGCAUUCCGCUCCAGUUCAGCUCCACUGACAUGCUCAGCGUCCCGCUCGACGACGUGCAACCUUUGAGAGGCUCGUCGGCGGGGAGGGUGGCCGCGGCGUCGUCAUCGCGUGAGAUGAUGACCCUGUACGUCCACGCUCGGUAUCGUACAAUCGACGGCGUCGUGUACUUUGGCAACGGCACCCCUGAGGUGCACAACUACCGCUCCUUGAUUGGGAUGCCGGAGUCCCUAUUCCACCUGCAGUAUCGCUACAGUGAGGCGAUCAGCAAGCGCGACAGCACGGGCAGCGGCUCCUCCCCCAGCAUAGCAGCGCUGGGCGGGAGUGGGGCCACGACGACUCCAGCCGGCGUUCUGACAGUGCCGCUCCGCAACCAGCAGUUCGACCUCAUCUCGUAUCUUCGUCUGCCGACACUAAAGCCGCUCCUCACCGACCGUUUUGCUCGCUUCUUCUCGCAGCUCCAGCGUGACGUGCAGACAGCAGAGGAGGUGGUGGCUGUCCGUGAGCGUGUGCUGGCCGCUCAACAGGCAGCUGGAACACUGACGCCGGACGACGCAGCUAGCCGCGUAGCGGAGUUGACCGACGCAAAGGCGUUUCGGUACAAGGUGCAGCUCGCGAUUCUCAAGUACAUGCACGAAAGCAAGGACACACGCCCGCAGGACAUGUACCUGCCCAGCAUCGAGAGGCAAAUGGCAGGGAAAAGAGUCGUGGUGUAGCCCAGGCGGCGGCGGCCGGCACAUGCCUACACAGAUCGAUGCACCGAGAAUGCCGCGCAGCUGACGCCUACAUGGGCUCGGGAGACUGUGCCGCUCCGGCGCGUGAACUCUCAGGUCGGACUUUCUCCGCUACCGCUCUAUCAGCGCGUGCGUGUGUGAGCGCGUCUCUCUCGCGGGGAGGGGCCUUGCCUCUUCUCUUUUCUUGUUUUCGGCUGAUUCUUUGUUUCCUUGUUCGCCCUCCGCUCCACCCGCUUCGGUGACGCUCUUCCAUGUACAGCACGUCAUGGCGAUGACACCCACACGCACUCGCACACGCGCCUUCUGUCUUUUUCGGGGUUUGCCUGUGCUUGGCUUUAUGUAGGUAUAGCUCCACACACUCGCCGACAUGCACGCGACUGCCCUCCCCCGGUGCCGUUUUCCUUCUCCCGCCGGCCCGUCUUCGUUUUCUCUCCCUGUUUGUGUGGCCGCCCGUUGCACUCCUGGUGGCGU